CCUGCCCAGUGACAAAAUUUAACGGCCGCGGUACCCUAACCGUGCAAAGGUAGCACAAUCACUUGUUCUUUAAAUGAGGACCAGUAUCAAUGGCAUCACGAGGAUCUUACUGUCUCCCCCCCCCAAUCAGUGAAACUGAUCUCCCCGUGAAGAAGCGGGGAUAUUUUUAUAAGACGAGAAGACCCCAUGGAGCUUUAAACCCAAUGACACCCACUUAUCCAAUACCCUCACACACCCCUGGUGACUGAUCAUU
RNAcentral lists this ribosomal RNA (253 nucleotides) under Boophis sp. 27 MV-2009. Its description in RNAcentral is "partial 16S ribosomal RNA". It matches the Rfam family "Archaeal large subunit ribosomal RNA", at positions 1950 to 2336 of the family's 2987-position model. The record is from RNAcentral. Lineage: Eukaryota; Metazoa; Chordata; Amphibia; Anura; Mantellidae.